This 424-nucleotide ribosomal RNA is filed under the name Veillonella sp. oral clone R59. RNAcentral's name for it is "bacterial SSU rRNA". It matches the Rfam family "Bacterial small subunit ribosomal RNA", at positions 45 to 446 of the family's 1533-position model. Lineage: Bacteria; Bacillati; Bacillota; Negativicutes; Veillonellales; Veillonellaceae. The record is from RNAcentral.
UGCUUAACACAUGCAAGUCGAACGAAGAGCGAUGGAAGCUUGCUUCUAUCAAUCUUAGUGGCGAACGGGUGAGUAACGCGUAAUCAACCUGCCCUUCAGAGGGGGACAACAGUUGGAAACGACUGCUAAUACCGCAUACGAUCCAACCUCGGCAUCGAGGAUGGAUGAAAGGUGGCCUCUAUUUAUAAGCUAUCACUGAAGGAGGGGAUUGCGUCUGAUUAGCUAGUUGGAGGGGUAACGGCCCACCAAGGCAAUGAUCAGUAGCCGGUCUGAGAGGAUGAACGGCCACAUUGGGACUGAGACACGGCCCAGACUCCUACGGGAGGCAGCAGUGGGGAAUCUUCCGCAAUGGACGAAAGUCUGACGGAGCAACGCCGCGUGAGUGAUGACGGCCUUCGGGUUGUAAAGCUCUGUUAAUCGGGAC